RNAcentral lists this ribosomal RNA (229 nucleotides) under uncultured bacterium. Its description in RNAcentral is "partial 16S ribosomal RNA". It matches the Rfam family "Bacterial small subunit ribosomal RNA", at positions 568 to 796 of the family's 1533-position model. The record is from RNAcentral.
UGCGUAGGCGGAUAGGUAAGUCAGAGGUGAAAUCCUACAGCUUAACUGUAGAAUGGCCUUUGAUACUGCUUGUCUUGAAUUAGGUUGAGGUCAGCGGAAUGUGGCAUGUAGCGGUGAAAUGCAUAGAUAUGCCAUAGAACACCAAUUGCGAAGGCAGCUGGCUAGGCUUUAAUUGACGCUGAGGCACGAAAGCGUGGGGAGCGAACAGGAUUAGAUACCCUGGUAGUCC